UCUUGAGAUCAGGUCGGUGGCCAUAAUGUGUCUUGAUAGAUUUGUCGAGCGAUUGUUGAGGAAGACUUUCUAGCUCUUGAUCAGCAUAAGCUAUUAACAAGUUUAAAGAUUUUGCUGAAUCUGCCAUGUCCUGAAUCUGCUUAGUUUCCCUAGCACUUUUCUUCUUGUUCCAUAGGAAGGCUGCACUUGCUGCAAUUACUAUAGCAGCUGCUAUAAACAACAUGUUGAACAAAGCCCUUGUGUGGUAUGGGAAUACCUUGUUAGUACCAUGGUCCAUAGGGUAAACAUAGUAUUGGUAAAGAAGUCCCACAAAUAGAAGGUACAGAGCAAACGAAGACGAUAUUAUAGCAGCAAGCCAGAGCCAGUUGUUCUGGCCUAAAAUGGGGGUUAUUGGUGCGUCAGAGUGGUCAGGUUUGAACAAAAUGGUCCGUAGGGGUUCAGAUUUUUCAUGUGCUGGUUCAAUCUCUCUGGUUAUAUAAGCCUCAAUUUGUAGGUCAAGAUUAGAAGAACAUCCUGAAGGAGUGCCUGCUAUAGGAAGAAGUAGGUCUAACAUAGAGAGUUGUGAAGUGUUCCUGAACACACUAACUAAUAAGAUCUUGGGAGUUUUGCAUUUCAGUGUUGAGCUCAUAUAAAUCAGCUCUCUGAUGAUUGAAAUGAAUGGAGUUAUUCCACUUCCUCCACUGAUCAACACCAAUGUGUCAUGCCUGUCAUCAAAAUAGACCACACCAUCACAAAAUAUACAUAGGGGAACUACAUUGACUUGGAAGAGUUUAAGCUCGAUGUACAGACGGAGUAAAAAAUCUUCAUAUGUUAGUCGUACUGCUAGUACGACUAACAUGUUUACAAAAGUUAGAAAACACUGAUAGUGUAAAACAUCUCUAACCUUAGGAAAUGAGUGGAAGCAGGUCCAUAGGGUCCUUCAACAGAAACAUCAAGACGAUCGACAGAGGAAGGCAAAGACAUGACACUGUAAAGCUUCUUAGUCCAACUUCCUUCACAUUUAAUGACAACACUAAUUGUUUCUGAUUCCAAGUUACUGUUUGAGGUUACAGUGAAUGGAUGCCACUGCAAUUUGGAUAUGCUUGGCACAUUUAGGAACGUAAUACUUGUCGGAGAGUACUCCAAACCUACAAAUUAGAACAAGUAAUCGUCCAGUUCAAAGUGAGAUAGGUAACCUGGAAAAUGAAAGACAGAAUUGUAGCUAGGCUGAACUAACCUGAUAUUUUGGAGAAGUUGAGUUCAACAGUUUCACAAGUCAAAACUCGGGCUGAAAUCAAACGAACUUUUUGCUUGGAUUGCAAGAAUCUCAAGUAUCGAUCGAUCAAGAAGAGGAAGAAACCAGGAAGCAUAAUGCAGGCAUAGAACAUUCCAGUGUGGAGUAGGUAGAAAACCAUGAAUAGAAUGUAGAGAUAAUGUGUGUAGAAGAAGAGUUCAAACAUUCUUCUUCUAAUUGCUGGAAAUGUUGUAGCCCACAAUAUUAAUCCAACUAGUAAACCAAGUUCUCCAGGUACAUUUGAUAUGUAAUGUGGAUCCCAUGUCAACAUCUGCAUCAAACCAAGAUUAGCUAGUAAAAAAGAUAUGAUCAAGGCAAUCAAUUAAAAUAGAAGAAUUAACCUAAGUAUUCAUCAACUGAUCAAAUGUGCAUAACUCAUGUGUAAUAUGUGUAUAAUCUAUGUAUAUCGGCUAGAAAAAAAGUCAACAAUGACUCCGGCCGGCUAUUUAUGUAAAGAUAAUCGUUGCUUAGACUAAAGAUAGCCACAGAUGUAUAUAUGCAUAAUCCAUGUAUUAUAUGUGUAUAAACAUAUAUAAUCAAAGUAUAGUCUAUGUAUAUCGUUAAAGAAAAUAAACUACUAUAGCUAUAUCUGGCGAAAGCAUCCGAAAAUUACACUACAUUUUUAUAAAUAGUCAAAUAUUAUCUGUAUUUUGUGUAUAUUUAUUAAAUUUUAAAUAUCCUUAAUGAAAUUCUUGAUUUCCCCAUUAUCACAUAGUAUUAUUUUGAUUUAUACUCAUACAUGCAUGAAUAAUUAAUUAUAGUUAUAAUAUGAUUAGGUCAUUUAGGUGUCAUGGUGAGGUGGGUAUCUUCUAGAAUUUUGAAAUAUAGAUACCAAAAUGGAUGUCACACUUGAACCUUUAAAUCAUUUCAUUUUUUUAUUAAAUAGGGGAAUAUUCUAUAAAGUUAGAAAACACCAAACAGAAAGCAGAAAGUUCAAACAAAUAUUUGAUUUAUGUGGUCCAAAAUUCCACUCACUUGCUGUGUUGUGUCACACUCAUACCUAAUGGCUAUUGAACUUUUUUUUGAUGAAUAAGUUUCCAAUUCUAGUGGAACUCUAAUUUAGUGUUAAGUCAAAGAGGUUCCCCACAUUUAACUGUCUCACCAAACUUUUAUUCCUUUUAUAUUUAUCUUAACUGUGUAGUUAAUCAACCAUCAACCAUGUGUUGUCUUCCCUUGAAAGUUAUGAAAUCUAUUUUUAUUUUUUUUACAAUUCCUUAGAUUUUAAUUUUUCAUAUGAUAUGUUUAAGAUUACAAGAUUAAAUUUAUUUUUGGUAUAUCUGAAGAACACCAUAUUCAAAAGUCGUCUUCUUAAGUUCAGAGUUAAGUUAAAAUAUGAUAAAUAAAUUGAACGGAAGAAUUACUAAUAAAUUGAAAUAUUUGCUACCUAUUUGCAUUACGUUAUCUUACUAUGUAUAAAUAAAGUAAAAUAAUACUUGUCAAUUUUGUGAUUUUCUUUUUCCAAUUUGGCAACGGGAAGGGAGGGAUUUUGAGAAGUGAAUUUAGACUUCCAUCGAUAUUAUUAGACUGAACGUAAUUUGGCAGUUUAUGGUAUGAGUUUGUUUAUUGAGGAAAAAAAAAAAGCUUAUAUGGAAAUUAAAAAGGAAAUUUAAUCAUUUCUUUUUGUCUUGUUUUGAAAAAGAGCUUAGGUAGAAAUUGAUUUGCUUUUUGAUAUGAAAAGAGUAAAAGGGUUUGUUGAUAGAAAAAGGAUUAAAAAAAUGUAAUGAUGAAAUCUUCUGUAUUAUUAGUUUAUCACAUUAUUAUAUUUUUGGUUGCUCCUCUCAUAAUGUGACAACUUACACACACAUAUAUAGUGACUUUAAAAAGAGUGAUGAUACAUAACUAUCUAGUUUUGCCUUUAAGAAUUUGAACCUCAGGUGCGUUCGAUGUGAAGAAAAAUAUUUUUUAUGGAUAUUAUUUUAAGAAGAAUAUGUGAGUUUUUCUAUUUAUUUAUAUUUUUUAUGUUUGAUAUAUAAAAAAAAAAAAUUAUUUUAAAAAUAUUUAUAUAAAAAUUAACUGGAGAUGAGAAUAUAGUAGUAGUUUACCAGAUAAAUUGAUAAGUCAAACAAUUUCAAUCCACCAAGUGAAAUUAGUGAUUUCUUGAUUACGAUCAAUCAAGACUAAAGGGUAUGGAUUGUUGGUAACGAGGGCUAUUAGGAUGGGGUAAAGAUGAGGUGCACAUAUUGGAGAAUGGGGAGAACACAAUUAACAUGAAAUACAAUUCAUGAAACUUAUUUUUUCUACUUAUACAACAAAAUUUAUUUUUCUCAUUUAUAAGAAAUUUAUUUUCCAGAAUGAUAUUUCUGAAAAAAAUUUACCAAUAUUUUUCACUAUACCAAACACACCCUUCUUUUUAAAUUGAGUGUCAAGAUAAGAAUAAGGCAGGCACAAUUAUUUCCAAACAUAUGCAUAGUAUGAAUCUAAAUUUUCCUUUACGACUUUAGACUAUGAAUGCAUAUAUCUUCUUUUUAAAGAUAAUUUUUUAAAAGUAAAACUAUGACAAUAAUUAGAAGUAAAAUUCAAUAAAGGAUACCAACUACCCUACAAAUGUUAAGAGUUAGUUGUUCGAUCUACAUCCAUCAAGAAUAAUAAAACUAACAAAUAUUAUAUUGCUAUUAGUUUUUCACAUAUUUUACACCACUUCCAAUUUGUUUUAAAGUUAUACCUCAUAUUGUUUUUCUUUCACUAUUAGUGAAAUUUAACAUGUAAUAACAUAUUAAUUAUUAUUUUAUCAAAUUAACGUAUCACAGAGAUUUAUCUGUAAUAUAAUUACCGUACAAUUUAUAAUUAGUAACCAAAUUAUAUUAAUUUUUUCUUCACUAUCAAUGCAAUUAAAACUUAAUCUCCUUACAUAUGAUGUAUUUUUGUGUUGGUUGAAAAUAAUCAAUUCUCCACUAGUUGUUUGUUAUGGUUGUUAUUAUUGCUCACUUCUCAAAACUAUGAAAGUUAAAGUCCAAUUAGGCCACCAAAAAUUUAAACAUAUGGUGGGGUUUGAUUUGAAACACAAGUGAACUUAAUAUUCACACUUUCUUUUUAGUGUGGGCACUAUCAAAUGUCAUUAUUGAGUGGCAAAACCAAGAAAACUUAAUGUGUAAUUAUCAUCUUAACGUUUUCUUGAAUCUUGAUUAAUUAAGUAGUUUCUUGUCCAUCAAAACUCUUUUUUCUUAAUUCAUGUACUAAUGGAUGCGGUUACGCAAUAAUUAUUUACACAUCAAAAUCUUUAAAAACCCCAACACCAACCCCCCCCCCCCCCAAAAAAAAAAAAAAAAAAANNNNNNNNNNNNNNNNNNNNNNNNNNNNNNNNAAAGAGUUUAAUGCACAAAAUUAGGUUAGCACUUAGCAUUAUUAGAAAAUUGCUAAUUUUCAACGAAUCAUCAUUGAAAAUCUCAUUUCAUGUGUGUCAGGGUUUUAAAAAGAGUUCUUGGGAUGUACAAUGAUUCAUAUAUUAAGGUCAUUUUUAUUAUGUAGAUCGUCACUUAGGAUUGUUACUGAGAAAAAUCAUACAUUCUUGGGGCGUAUACCAUUCUAUAAAUGAGUUCAUAUCAGGAAAAACCUUUUUUCGCUCCGCUUAGCCUUAUUACCUUUUUUUGUUCCGCUUAGCCUUAUUACCCCAUUUUAACACACAUUUGAUAUUGCAAUUAUUGAAAUAAUAUACUAUAUAUUAAUAAACAUGGGAAUGACAUAAUUACCUCAUGUAAUCUCCCAGAGACAGCCCAAAAGAGAAUAAAAAGAAGACCAUGAAUAGUGAAAAGUGUCAUAGCCAUAUGUCCCAACCAUAUAUGAUAUUUGAUGCUGCCUUCUGAAGUUAAUCCCAAAAGAGGCAAAAUUGAAGAGCCUCUACUCACUGGAUAAAAUAGAAAUGUUAAACAUAUAUUCCCCGUUAGCCCUAUCACUAAAGCCAACCUAUCAAUUCUUGCUUGCCACCUACAGAAUUUUCACCACAAAACAAAACUUCAGGGAAAAGAGUCUAGUCGAUUAGGUUUGACAAUCAGAAGAAAUAAAACGAAAUCAGGAUUUAACUGAAAAAUAAGUAUGACUAUGAAUAUCAUGAUCGAUCACUAUCGAAAAAGAAGAAUGCUAUCAAUCCCUCACCAAAAUUAAGACUAGAAAAAGGUGAAAGAAGAAAUUCUAUGCAUUUUACUCUUGAGUACUCUUGACUACUCAAGUAUUCAUUAAUAUAGUAAGUGAUUAAAAAAACUAAAAAUUAAAUUUUAUACAUGUUACACUUUGAGUCUUGACUACUUAAGUAUUCAUGAAUAUAAUAGUGAUGUUCAUUCUAUUAUUGUCACUUUUUUCGUUCUCAAGUAUUAGUCGUUUAACAGAUUGAACUUGUUUCUAAAUAUUUGACUAUUUAAGUAUUCGUGAAUAUAUAUAAUAGUGAAACCAUCAUAAUUUUCAUUCAAUUGUUGUCACACUCUUCCGUCUCAAAUAUAAGUCGUUUAACAAAUUGAAAUUAUCCCAAAAUAAUAUUUGACUUUAUAGACAAGCAAGAAUAAUUUAAUUUACACGUUUUUUUUUUCUAAAUUAAAUUCAUCCUUAAUUCUCUAAUUAGUGAAGUAUUAAUUAAUUAAGUGGGAUAUUAUUAAUUACUACUCCCUCCGUCUCAUUUUAUAUGUCACAUUUUAACUUUGCACUUGCAUUAAGAAAUGGUGUAACUUUACCCUUCUAUCUUUAUUUAAGUUUUUUGAAACUCAAGUUUCCAAUCAAUGAAUAUGAAUUAAUUUAUUUUGAUAUUAAUUUAACCUAUGAACAUGAAUCAUUUACUUAGUUUUUCUAAGUUGGUCAAAUGUAUGUUUUCAAUGUUAAUAACUCACAAGGGUAAAAAAGGAACAAUAUGCUAAUUUAUGCAUUGAUUUAAUGAAAUGAUGACGAGUAUUAUGGACCAACUAUUUAUAAAAAGAGAUGACAUAUAAAAUGAGAAGGAGGGAGUAGUAACUUAUAAGUAGAGGAUAUUAGGAUACCUAUUUUUAUUUUUUGAAAAAAAUUGAUCUAAAAAUGAGCGCACUUUUUAAGUUUUUCAACCCCUCCCCCCCCCAAAAAAAAAAAAACUAAAAAAAAUGCUUAAAACCCAAAAGCACCUAAAAAUAAACUAAUUCUAAUUUUUUUUAUAUCUUUAUAUAUAUACGUGUGCAAAAAUCUUAAAAGAUAGAUAAUAUAAACGAAAAGGAGAAACUUACACUUCAACUCCUUUAGUUGCUGCAUAAGUAGUAAUGGUACUAUAGUGAAAAUAGACAAAUGCUGAGAAAUACCAAACACAUAGAAUAAUGAACAUGGCUAGAAAAAAUAGUUCUAUCCAUGUCACUAUUCCUAAUGGUUUGAUGAUUUUUGGCUUCUUCAAUAUCUUCAACCAAUCUUUAUUGCUGAAAUUAAACAACAAUAAAAAUAAUUAAAUAUAUCAUUAAUCUACAAAAACAAAAAUAAAAAUAAAAUAUUGUUGUAUAUAUCAUACCGAUAUGAUGAAGUGACAAUAUCACUUUUUUUCUUCUCUAGAUGGACAUAAAGACAGCCCAAAACAGCUAUGAAUAAGAUUGGGAAUGUGAAGUUCAUCAUAAUGGGACCUGUAAAAUAACCACCAAGAAUCAAUUUUAUAAUUUCUUUUAUUUACCCUCAUCUCAACAAGAAAAAAGAGAAACAAAAGAAAAAAACAAUGAAGUCCAAUUUUCAUGCUAGUAUUAUUUUCUGUAUCGUUCUAAUUUUAUCAGAAAUUCCUAAAAACCAAGGGUGAAUGUAGUUAAACACUUAUGAGUUCAUUCAAACUCAGUUUGUAAUUGACUCGAACCUUAUAUACAUAUAUAUUAAAAGAUCCACUAAAUAAGCAUAAGUCGAAUCCAGUAUUAAAUGUGUUCUGAUGAACCUUAUACACAUACACUACUAAAAACACACAAAUUUCCCACGAAUUUUUUCCAAGGGAGCUCCAUCGGAAAAGUUUCUAACAAGCCAAUUUUCAAUUUUCCUUGAAAAUUUCCAUCAGAAAUUCACGUGUUUUUAGUAGUAUACUUCCAAACUCAAAUUUAUAAUAUUCAAAUCCUGAAUCCACCUCCGUCAAAAUGAGGAAAGGGAUGGAAAAAAUGGAAGACUUAAUUAAAAUUAAAAUACCUUGAAUAUCAAAGAAUGUGGAAUUGGUGGCAGCAACAAGAACAGGAACCCAUUUUUGAUAAUAUGUAAAAGUUGGCAUAAUAACCCACAUCAUUAAAUUCCCAAGAAAUAUUGUAAGUGCUAAAGCUAAUAUUGCUCCUUGUAUCAUUCUAAUUUUUCCAUCAGAAAUUGAUGAUGAUCUCUUAUUCAUCACCUCCAUUUUUCUUGUAACAAAUUAGUUUUUGUUUAAUAUUAGAAAUAUAUAGCAAAUAAGUGUUUACAAGUUGUAUGCUAUAAAUAAGCAAAAUUUGUAUGGGAUGCUGACUUGACAAGAUUAUUGCACCUCUCAAUGGUCUAGUGAUCUUGUCUUCCUAGGGCCCCAUUUUCCAUAUAUUUUUCAUUUUUUCAUUUUUUUUCACCUAACUUUCAAUUUUUUUUACUAAAUAUUUGAGUAAAAGUUAUAUAAAUCAUCAGCGUUAUCAGAUCACUUAAAAUAUAUUUCACAAGUAAAAUAGCUAUGGUGAAUGUAUACAUGGCAUAUAUAUCAUUUUAGUUCGAUUUGUAUCUAACACCCUAACCAAAUGCAAUAUAUUUUUAGUUACUACUUUUGUAAAUAUAUAUUUUCUUUUAGCAAUUACUAAUUAAAGAUUGUUUUGUUGGAUUUCUUAAUGACAAAAUGUAGAAAGUAUUAAAACACAUAUUUAAAAGCAAACCAUUUUUUAAAAAGAUCUUUUGGCUUUAGUUUUGUACCAUGAAUCUUGUGGUUGUUGCCUUAGAUUUUCUCUCUUUUGUUUAUUUUUUAAUUUUAUGAUAUUGUUGCAGCUUGGCUAUGGGAGAGUAGGUAUAACAGUAUCAUAAAAAUAUGUAAAAAUAAAGAAAUACACUAUAUAUAUAUAAAAGUGAACUUGUGGCCUUAUCCUGCUUUAAGAAAAAAAAAGAACACAAUACAAAAAGAUUGCAGGAUAAAGUAAAUUAGUGGUAGACAGGGGUUGUACUCCAUAUAUAAUUAAUAUAUAGUUCUCCAUAGUUUCUUCUACUAUAAAAUAUUUUAGUAAGUUUAAGUUUUGCCGAUAUUUUAUCCACUUCAGAUUUUACUGUGUAGAAUUAUAUUGAAAUGUUAUUAUUGAGGUAAGGUUAAUGACUUUUAAAAAGUAUAGUAUACCUAAAAUCAACAUGAUUGAAAUAGAUUCUCAACUUAUUAGUAUCAUCUUCACAAAAAAGAAAAAAAUCAAUUAUUUCUUUUUUUUGCUAAACUUGUAUUGAUUUCACCAUAUAAUUAAUAUGCUGUCAUUCAAGACAAUUUCCUUUCAUGUGUGUUUAGGCUUAUUCUAUUUCUUUUUAGUACAUCUUCACUUACUAUGCAUAUUUUCACAUCUAUGGACCAUUCUAUCAAAAGGUCGAUGCAAACUAUGAUUAAACCAUCUCAAUCUAAAUAUUCUCUCUUGAUAGAGUGCAUAAUAUUCUAAUUUUUCCAUAGUUGUAUUUCCAAAUACACUGCUUAUUUUUGAAUAUUUGUACUUCAAAAUUAGGCAACUCUAAAUAUAAUAGUAUCUAUCUCUCCGGUGAUAUAAGAUCCGUUAUUGAAUCAAUCCUUAAUUUCGUUUCUUUUUAUUGUCAUAAAAAUGUCUAAUUCGAUUAGUAAGUCAAUUCAAUCUUCUUGACUUUAUUUAUAUUCAGCUUCAUAUUUUGCUUUUUGUCCUUCAAAAUGGUAGCGAUAUCAAAUCAUAAUAUUAAACUCGACUACCACAUAACCUACCAACGUUUGAGUAGGAACACAUAGUAAUGAAAAUCAAAGCUCCCCAAAACUACAUGAAUUCUAUCUUUUAAUAUAAUUCAGGUCUUACUUAAAUGUAUGUAUGGUUGGUAAUUAAUAAUUAAUUCCUCAUCAAGCAUUUUCAAUUUCAUAAUUGUACUAAUUGACCUUUGUUUCAGUUGGAAGUGUCUAGAGGCCUCUACUUCUGUUGACAAGUCAUUUGCCACCAAAAAAAGAUUUCUAAUCACUUGUCCUACCACUGAAGAGAAUGUAAUAAAUAAUAGUAAUUUUCUUUAAAGUAAAAAAUAAUUCAAGCAAAUGAUUUGUACAUCUUGUUAUUUUUAUACUCCAUAUAACUAGGGGAAGUUGAAAAUCAUUAUGGUCAAAAAGGAAAUUUUACUAUUUCUAAACAAAACAUAAAAUUAGAUUGUACUUCACAUAAACUAAUUCAUUUUCUUUGUUUUUGACUCUUUACCUAAUUAUAAUUUCUUGUUGCCAUCUCAUCUACAUCAACCUUCCUUUGUUCAUUUUCAACCUAUAUUCAUUUGACAACUUUCAAAAACUCAAACCAACCAACCUACAUACAUCUCUUUUCUUUUUUUGUUAAUAUUUUCAACCAACUAACCAUGUUAAUUCAUUCCUUCAAUGUUAAUGUCUUUAUCAUCACUUAUGAUACAUGUCAUAUACAUAAUUAUACAUCAUAUAUACAUGAUUAUACACUAUUCAUAUAAUAUAAAUACAUUAAUAAUAGGGAAAAUUACAAGUAUAAGCAAACAUAUACUAGUUAAUUACUUAACAUAGCUAUAGUUUGUCUUAAUUACAAUUCACAACCUACUUUUAGUUAUAAUUACGCGGCUCAGCUUUUUAAUUUUGUAUAAUUCGCAUGUUUGUAUAAUUCGGAAUUUGUAUAAUAUAAUUUGUAUAACUUUUGUAUAAUUUGAAAUUUGUAUAAUAUAAUUUGUAUAAAUUUUUACACUUCUGAAGUUUGUAAUUGUAUAAAUUCGUUAUUUCGAGUUAAUACAAAAAAUAACUAAAUUAUACAAAUGUGCCCACGAAUUAUACAAACCUGCGAAUUAUACAAAUCCGCAAAUUAUACAAACGAGGCAGCUUAAACUGUAGCUACAUCCAGUAAAUAUGCAAACUAUAGCUAUGUAACAUAAUUAAGUUUAUUAUAGUGGCUAUUUGCCAAAGUUUCUCAUAAUAAUAAUAAGCCUCAUCCUCUUGGACUCGGGUUGGGCUAUUGUGGGUAAAUUACCCAAGGCGCAACCGGCUGUUAAAUCAUCGUCCCAAUUUUUAUUUAGUCGGCUGAGUAGAGUUGAAUAUAGAGAAAAUUAUAGAAAUCACUAUAGUUCCAUAGCUAAGUAAUUUUAGGAAAAAUUGUUUAAAUACAUAAAUAUUUCUAUCAUAUUUAUUAAUUGUUUCUAUAAUUUGAAAUAAUUAUAUUUUAUCUCACUAAUUAUUAAUUUUUUAUUAAAUUUUAAGUCAUAUACACCUAAAUACAUGUUCUUUUGCUACCCGAUACACUAAAAUUGAGAGAGAAGCGAGCGAGAGUAGGAGAGAGGCAAGUGAAAUUUGUCUAUGUAUCCCAGAUACAUGCGAAUUACACUAAAUACAUAUAUCUAGUGUGAUUCGCAUGUAUCUUGGAUACCAGAUACGCAAGCGAGAUAUGAGAGUGACGAGUGAGAUGGGAGGGAGGCGAAGGAGGCGAGCGAGAUUUUUCUAUGUAUCACAGAUAUAUGCAAAUCCACUUGGAUACAAUAUAUCUACAACAAAUUACACAUAGUUUUGAUCUCGUGUGCGAUGUGUCUAGACACACCAAUUUUUAUUUUAUAAUAUUACAAUUAGCAUGUAUCUUAGUAAUUAACUUCUAAGUUAAUAAUUAAAUGCAACUAGCUCGCUAUUUUGUUUCAAUAUUUAUUACUCAUAGAAAAUAUUUCGCAAGGUUUGUACCAACGAAUACAACCUAUAUAUUAAUGAGGAACUUUCACAUAUAGCCACUCAAAAAUAGCCUAAUUACUCUCCAUAGCUAUAAUUUGAUAAUUACAAUUCGUAGCUACAUGUUAUAGGAAGGAGAGCGGAGAGCGAGACUGGGAGAGAGAGGAGAGAGGCGAGCGAGAAAGAGGAAAGAGUGGGAGAGAGGUGAAUUGUAUAUGUAUAUCGGUUAGAUAAUUGUAUAUUAUACAUAUGUAUUUGUAUAUAUGGAAAGCGAGAUUGGGAGAGGGAGGAGAGAGACGAGNNNNNNNNNNNNNNNNNNNNNNNNNNNNNNNNNNNNNNNNNNNNNNNNNNNNNNNNNNNNNNNNNNNNNNNNNNNNNNNNNNNNNNNNNNNNNNNNNNNNNNNNNNNNNNNNNNNNNNNNNNNNNNNNNNNNNNNNNNNNNNNNNNNNNNNNNNNNNNNNNNNNNNNNNNNNNNNNNNNNNNNNNNNNNNNNNNNNNNNNNNNNNNNNNNNNNNNNNNNNNNNNNNNNNNGGGAGAGAGGUGAAUUGUAUAUGUAUAUCGGUUAGAUAAUUGUAUAUUAUACAUAUGUAUUUGUAUAUUCUGGCGAAUUAUACAUAUACAAACGUGGAUAAUUAUACAAACUCGAAGUCAGCCCACGUAAUUAAUGUAUAUAAUGUUAGUCGCGAGUGGUAAUUAUAACAAACUAUAGCUUUGAUGAGUAAUUAAGUAGUAUAAGUUUGCUUAACUGCGUAAUUUUUCCUAUUUUAUAUAUAAAGAAAAUAUUUAACACUAUUAUUUUUGAUGAAAUUAUUUUCAAAAUGAAAAUUUAAGUUAUAUACUUUUUUAUUUUACUUUUUGAAAAAUAGAUACAAUAGUAUACGUGAAUUUUAUAUUUAUAUAUAUAUAUAUAUAUAUUAUAAGGUGACACCGCUUGCAAAAAUUUAUGCGUAUGCCGCUGAUUGAUUUUUAUUUUGAUUUUGAGGCGCCAAACUUGUUUUGGGUACUCUAAAAAAUAUUUCUCCAAGGUCAUUGAACUCCAAACUGAAAUAUCAGUCAAAGUGUACCACACUUGUUAAAAAUCAACCCACAAUACACCAAAUACUAAAGAGUAAAGUUGUAAAGGACUUUUGGGAGAAUGAGAAGACAAAAAACCAAAAGGUUUUAUUUAAUAACUAAAAAAAGUUAAAAGAAGACCUUUUGUUUUUUUAUCUUAAAAAAGGUCACUUUUGUUCUCUCUUUAAAGAGAAAAACAGAACCAAAAAGAAAUUGAACAAAAAAACCUUAAUCUUUCCAAAAAGUCUAGGCUUGAACCCAGGCCACAAAAGCCUGACAAAAAAAUUAAACAAAAUGCCUAAGCUUGGGCUCGAACACGGAACCUGAAGUAGCUUUGAACACCCUUAGCCGCUGGGCUAUAUUUCUUUAUUGUAUCAAAAGUGUUCAACAAUUUGUAUAUAUCCAAAAAUAUUUCCAACGAAGGUUGUUCAUCUGACCACCAUCGCCAAGGCAUAACUCUGCUCCUGGAUAUGGGAAUAAGGCUAACGGAUGGAUGUUGUUUAUAUUAUUGAGAAAGAGAUAUACUAGGAUGAAUGAUGUUUAGAUUAACGGAACAUCAUAGAUAACUAAAAGAAAAGAUAAAAAUUACUUUCUUAAUUAACCUACUGUUAUUGACAUAACAUUAGAGAUAUAUAUCAGUAGUAUUAUGUUUUAGAUAACAUUUUAUUUGAAAAUUUCUUACUAUCCCUUUAUUCUAAUCAUUUCUCAAUAUGAUUUUGAAUUAAAUUAUAGUAUUAAUUUUUAUUUAUGAUUCUGCUAUAUAUAUAUAUAUAUAUACUUUUUAUGGUUUUUGUCUCCAUGCAGUUAUUUUGUUAAUAGUUUAAAUUUAUAUAAUAAUAUGAUUAUAUAAAAGUAAGGGUUAAUUCUAGUUAAUAAGAGUUGAGCCAUUUGUUUGCAAUAUAUCAUCUUUGAUAUUUUUAUAAAAACUUUAUUUACUAAUAAGAAGAUUUGAGUUGUUUAAUUUAAAGUUUUAAAAUAUUAUUGAUAAAAAUUAGAUAGUUCUUCUAUUUUUCUUUUUUUCAUUUCAAUUUUGUAUUUUUUUUUCAUAAUAUUUAAUAUUAUCUCAAGUGAAACUAUAAUUAAAAAAAUCACUAUUAAUUUUGUUAAUAUUCAUUGCAAUUAAUUCAAUGAUAAAUUUAGUUAAGUGAUUUUAUUGAUACAAAAGGUUAAGUUGAGUGAUUUUUUUUAUACAAAAAGUGUAAGUUGAGUUGCCAUCAGUUUUACUUUGUUCCCAUUUGGGAGAACCUCAAAUUCUGCUUAUUUUGAGAAUUGCUUUUGUUAGUUGCAACUCACAUGAGGUUCCUUUUGUUAUUUUUGCUCAGGUCUUGUUUGAUUUAUUUCAGCAUGAUUUACGCUUGUGGAAAGCAUAUAGCAUUACUUUAAAGGUAAAUUUGAUACAUUAUUUCUUGGAUACGUUGACUUUAUUUGUGCAUCUCACCGUGGUUUUCAUGUGCAUCUUCAGACCCAUCCAUCAUUUGCUGAAUACCAUGACUUGCUUGAAAGUUUGGAUGAAAAACUUUCAUCCACUUCAAAUUCAGAAGAGACGUGAGCUCUCUGGAUGUAAAGAGCUCCCUUGGUCAGCUUUGCUAUUAAUGGUUAAAAGAGCUCCCAGUGAGAUCUUCUACUUGAAGCUUUAACCGCACCAACUUGAAAUCAGCAUCAAUGUCUAAUUGCUCUAUUGGGAAGGGGGUUGAGCGGCUCUGCAAAAGGCACGAGAUGAGAUUUCGGUUCCUGUUCUACUUUUACCCUAUCUGUGUCCUGCAGAAUUUAUUUUGUAGAUAGGCAUAUCAUUGCUCCAUGGUCCUGUUUCUUUUUCAUGAUUUAUAGUUUGUAUCAAAUUUUAGCUUUGUCAUCAAGGGUGUAGGUGAUCGUAAUGAAAAGGGGCACCUCUUGUAUGAAAGAUCUGAUCUUCCGAUAAAUAGAGAAUAGAGAAGAUUUUGUGCAUUACUGCAUCACUCCUUUCCUUCUUUUUUAUUUAUUUACAGUUUAUACCAGAUUUCAUUGAGGGUGUGGGCGAUUGUAAUGAAAAGGGGGGACUCUUGGAUGAAAGAUUUUGAUCUUCUGAAAGUGAAUAUUUUGUGCAUUUCAUCAUGUGGACAAAUAAAGCUGAAUAUUUAUGCUUCAGAAUUCUUCACCCCAUAUUACUUCUUCUGAUUGUUCGAUCUAUGGUUCUGGGAGACUGCAGAGGAUACUUUAAGAAGAUAUUCGACAAAAAGUACUGUUAUCUUGGGCAACCAUACCCACAAUACCUAUUUUAAACACACAUAUUGAUUCAACCAGAAGACUGGAACAUAUUACAGGGCAUAAUAUCUAUAUAGAUACUGCUGCAUUCUUAUAGAGUCCUUUUAAGGUAGCUCUGGAAAUCACCAGGUGAAGCUGAUGGACUCGAAGUGCAGAUUUUCAACCAACCCAGAUGAGCAAAUGGCUGCUACGUCAUGCCUCAAGGUCUUCGGUCCAGAGGCAAGUACUCCAACACUUGAUCCUUUAACUUCUAGCAAUAUUCCUGCAAAAGAAUUUCAUUUAGUUACCAAGCAUAGAGAGUUGGGAAACGAAGUACUACUUAGUAGUUUUGAUUAUGCAAAGAUAUUGUAGUAAUUACUCUUGAGAUCAGGUCGGUGGCCAUAAUGUGUCUUGAUGGAUUUGUCGAGCGAUUGUUGAGGAAGACUUUCUAGCUCUUGAUCAGCAUAAGCUAUUAACGAGUUUAAAGAUUUUACUGAAUCUGCCAUGUCCUGAAUCUGCUUAGUUUCCCUAGCACUUUUCUUCUUGUUCCACAGGAAGGCUGCACUUGCUGCAAUUACUAUAGCAGCUGCUAUAAACAACAUGUUGAACAAAGCCCUUGUGUGGAUUGGGAAUACCUUAUUAGUACCAUGAUCCAUAGGGUAAACAUAGUAUUGGUAAAGAAGUCCCACAAAUAGAAGGUACAGAGCAAACGAAGACGAUAUUAUAGCAGCAAGCCAGAGCCAGUUGUUCUGGCCUAAAAUGGGGGUUAUGGGUGCAUCAGAGUGGUCAGGUUUGAACAAAAUGGUCCGUAGGGGUUCAGAUUUUUCUUGUGCUGGUUCAGUCUCUCUGGUUAUAUAAGCCUCAAUUUGUAGGUCAAGAUUAGAAGAACAUCCUGAAGGAGUGCCUGCUAUAGGAUGAAGAAGGUCUAACAUUGAGAGUUGUGAAGUGUUCCUGAACAUACUAACUAAUAAGAUCUUGGGAGUUUUGCAUUUCAGUGUUGAGCUCAUAUAAAUCAGCUCUCUGAUGAUUGAAAUGAAUGGAGCUAUUCCACUUCCUCCACUGAUCAACACCAAUGUAUCAUGCCUGUCAUCAAAAUUGACCACACCAUCACAACAUAUCAUAGUGGAACUACAUCGAC
This 15444-nucleotide long non-coding RNA is filed under the name Solanum tuberosum (potato). RNAcentral describes it as "long non-coding RNA (STUB_LNC002196)". The record is from RNAcentral. Lineage: Eukaryota; Viridiplantae; Streptophyta; Magnoliopsida; Solanales; Solanaceae.